AUUGAACGCUGGCGGCAUGCCUUACACAUGCAAGUCGAACGGCAGCACGGAGCUUGCUCUGGUGGCGAGUGGCGAACGGGUGAGUAAUAUAUCGGAACGUACCCUAGAGUGGGGGAUAACGUAGCGAAAGUUACGCUAAUACCGCAUACGAUCUAAGGAUGAAAGUGGGGGAUCGCAAGACCUCAUGCUCGUGGAGCGGCCGAUAUCUGAUUAGCUAGUUGGUAGGGUAAAAGCCUACCAAGGCAUCGAUCAGUAGCUGGUCUGAGAGGACGACCAGCCACACUGGAACUGAGACACGGUCCAGACUCCUACGGGAGGCAGCAGUGGGGAAUUUUGGACAAUGGGCGAAAGCCUGAUCCAGCAAUGCCGCGUGAGUGAAGAAGGCCUUCGGGUUGUAAAGCUCUUUUGUCAGGGAAGAAACGGUGAAAGCUAAUAUCUUUUGCUAAUGACGGUACCUGAAGAAUAAGCACCGGCUAACUACGUGCCAGCAGCCGCGGUAAUACGUAGGGUGCAAGCGUUAAUCGGAACUACUGGGCGUAAAGCGUGCGCAGGCGGUUUUGUAAGUCUGAUGUGAAAUCCCCGGGCUCAACCUGGGAAUUGCAUUGGAGACUGCAAGGCUAGAAUCUGGCAGAGGGGGGUAGAAUUCCACGUGUAGCAGUGAAAUGCGUAGAUAUGUGGAGGAACACCGAUGGCGAAGGCAGCCCCCUGGGUCAAGAUUGACGCUCAUGCACGAAAGCGUGGGGAGCAAACAGGAUUAGAUACCCUGGUAGUCCACGCCCUAAACGAUGUCUACUAGUUGUCGGGUCUUAAUUGACUUGGUAACGCAGCUAACGCGUGAAGUAGACCGCCUGGGGAGUACGGUCGCAAGAUUAAAACUCAAAGGAAUUGACGGGGACCCGCACAAGCGGUGGAUGAUGUGGAUUAAUUCGAUGCAACGCGAAAAACCUUACCUACCCUUGACAUGGCUGGAAUCCUUGAGAGAUCAGGGAGUGCUCGAAAGAGAACCAGUACACAGGUGCUGCAUGGCUGUCGUCAGCUCGUGUCGUGAGAUGUUAGGUUAAGUCCCGCAACGAGCGCAACCCUUGUCAUUAGUUGCUACGAAAGGGCACUCUAAUGAGACUGCCGGUGACAAACCGGAGGAAGGUGGGGAUGACGUCAAGUCCUCAUGGCCCUUAUGGGUAGGGCUUCACACGUCAUACAAUGGUACAUACAGAGCGCCGCCAACCCGCGAGGGGGAGCUAAUCGCAGAAAGUGUAUCGUAGUCCGGAUUGUAGUCUGCAACUCGACUGCAUGAAGUUGGAAUCGCUAGUAAUCGCGGAUCAGCAUGUCGCGGUGAAUACGUUCCCGGGUCU
RNAcentral lists this ribosomal RNA (1352 nucleotides) under uncultured bacterium. Its description in RNAcentral is "bacterial SSU rRNA". It matches the Rfam family "Bacterial small subunit ribosomal RNA", at positions 28 to 1381 of the family's 1533-position model. The record is from RNAcentral.